Molecule: long non-coding RNA, 555 nt
Organism: Heterocephalus glaber (naked mole-rat)
Lineage: Eukaryota; Metazoa; Chordata; Mammalia; Rodentia; Bathyergidae
Source: Ensembl
AUCUCCUUUCCCCUCCCUCACACACUCACACCAAUUGUGACACCUUUUCAAGGCUGUCCUUUAAUGUGUGUGUUUGGAAAGUAGAAAAGGAGGCGGCAAAGAAAUACACGUAAUACAAUUUACUCCAAGACCCAAGACUUAAGACCAUGUAUCAGAGAUGACUUCGCUUAGGGGUUCAGAAAAUUCACUGGCAGAAGUCCAAGAUUAAGGUGCCAGCACAUUUAGUUUCUGGCAAGGCGUCUGUUCCUGGCUUGCAAUGGUCACCUUCUGAAUGGAUCUUCACAUUGAUAGAAAAGAGCUAUACGUCCUCUUUCACAGACGAGCAAGUGAACCACAAAGAGGUCAUGUUGCCCAAGGCCAUAGUGCUAACUCAUCAGUGAUGGAGCAGGCAGUUGUCUCCAGUGGACGAGUACUGAGCUGCUCCUCUGAACCGCGCACUUCCUAGCUUACUCUUUCUCCUCCGUGAUGCCCCUCUGCCAUGCCACCCUACAUUGGAGCCAGCCAACUACGGACUGAAACCUCUACAAACUGUGGCUGCAAUAAAUCUUUCCUCCC